This 7346-nucleotide long non-coding RNA is filed under the name Coffea arabica (coffee). RNAcentral describes it as "long non-coding RNA (CARA_LNC001410)". The record is from RNAcentral. Lineage: Eukaryota; Viridiplantae; Streptophyta; Magnoliopsida; Gentianales; Rubiaceae.
GAGUCGGCGGUAGGAGCUUUGGACGGAGAACGCUCCGGCGAAGACGUCGGCGGGGCAGGAGGAGACAGAAGAGGCGAAGGAGCUAGAGGAGCAGGACUAUGAGCCAGAGGCGCCGGGGAAGGAGAGGUCUCCGGUGCAGGUCCAGGAGCCGGAGAAGGAGACUUUCCGAAAAGCUCCGACGGAAGAAGCAAACUGUCAACGGUGAAAAUGCAGACCGGAGGCGUAUCAAGCACAGUGGAAGCGAGUCGCGAUGAGUCCACUCCCGUGUCGAGGGUUACCGUGUCACCUGCACUCGAAACGCUCAAUUCAUACUUGAAAGCUCCGUUCGUCGCCAAUGUCGGUAACGAACCCUUCUGAGCCUUCAAUGACCCAGUGGGAUCGUAACUCCCGAGAGCAUGAUAAAGACACAAGGAAUCCAGCUCAGCGCUAGUGAGUUUGCUCAGAUCUGGCAGUUUCGCCGCCUUGAAGGCCUCAUCAGACGGCGCAAAAAUCGUCAAUCCUUUACCAGCCGCCGCCUGAUAAGUCUUAAGAACGCCAGUCUGGACAAUCAAAUUAGCAAAAGUCUUGCAGCCAGCUUUUUCCAGCAAAGCAGUAAUGUUGGCGUCGGAAGCAGACGGCGCUGGAGCAGUUAAAACCCCGGGGGCAAUAAUCGGCGCGCUGAUCUCAAUGACAGAAAUAUUGUAAGGAAUCUGCUUAACGGAUUUAGUAUAAGUGGAGUCAAGCUUGGAGCCAGGAACAGCGGAGCCGAAGCCGACUUUUCCACCUUUGAGGUCAGUGAUGUUGACGAAACCCUGAUUUCCAGGGGCAUUUCCGGUGGUUUGGUACAAUGUGGUGGAGAGAGUGGUGCCGUUAGAGAUGUCGUGGAGCUUGCCGGCGUCGUAGUAGUCGAGGACGACGUGGAGGGACAAGGCUUUUUUGACAACGGAAAGGGGAUGCUUGGCAGCGAGGGAAUCCAUGGCGGAGUUGGUUAAGACGAGGACAGUGAUGGUCUCGCGACUGUUGAUUUCGUCGGCGAGUUUUGUGUCGGUGAGGAACUUGUUGUACUCGCUGUAUUCCGGAAAUGCGGAUAGGAUUUCGGUAAUGUUGUGGGCGUAGAUGGAUGUGAAGAAGAGAGAGAAGAGGAAGAGGCGUAGAAAAACCCCCAUUGCUAUUGCUGAGCAGAGAGACAGAGCAGUGGGAGAAGUGCGAAGUGAAAGUGAAGGGGAAAGUAUCAGUGAAACGGCUAACAGAAAAGGAAGGGGAGAUUAGGAGGAAGAAAUACCACUGAAAUACUCAUGAGCGAGAAUUAACCGAGGUUAGGUUAACUAACUAGGAUCGAUUUAGAGGCAAUUUUAAAAUUUUAGUCCUUAUAUUAAGUAUUAUUCUCUUAUUUAGUCUCUCGUAUUUGAAAAUACGGCUCCGUUUGGAUUCUUGUUUUUGGGCCUGAUUUUGAAAAACUGUUUUUCACAAUCCAAGUGCUACAGUAAAUGUGUAUUUCAAAAACAACUCCAAAAACACCAUAUCCAAACAAUAUAUCAAAAACAACUCCAAAUACAUAUUUAAUAUGUUUAUUUCAAUUUGUAUAUUUCAAUUAUGUAUAGGAUAUAUAUAUUAUAUUAAUUUAAAUAUAUUUAUUUAUACAUAUUAUAAAUAUUUUAUUUUAUAUAAAAUAUAUUUUUAUAUAUUUAUAUAAAUAUUAAUAUAUUAUAUAUAUUAUAUAUAUUAUAAAUAUGUUAUUAUACAUUUAUAUAAAUGUUAUAUAUUAUAUAUAUUUAAUAUAUACAUAAUAUAUAUUAUAUAUAUUGAACAUUUAUAUAAAUGUACAUUUAAACAUAAUAUAUAUAUAUUUAUGUAUAUUUAUAAUAUACAUUUAUAUUAUGUAUUAUAUAUAAUAUAAUACAUUUAUACAUUUAUAUUAAUAUACAUAAUAUUAAUUAUACAUUUAUACAUAAUAUUAAUAAAUUUAUACAUUUAUAUUUAUUACAUUAAUACAUUUAUACAUAAUAUUAAUAUCUAUUAAUAAUAUAUUAAUUUAUACAUUUAUAUAAUAUUAAUUUAUAAUUUAUACACAUUUAUAAAUAUAUUUAUUUAUAAAUAUUUACAAAUGUAUAAUUGUAUAUUGUUAUAAAAAUAUAAAAAUUAUAAAUUAUAAAAAUACUCGAAAAUAUGUUUUAAAAAUACAUCUAAAAAUAAUCCAUAAAACAUCUACAGUAAAAGUUUUUUAUAUAAUUUUUGAAAAACAACCCCAAAAACAACUAAUCCAAACGGACUUAUAUUUGAAAAACGAAAUGCUACAGUGCUGUUUUUGAAAAACAAUCCCAAAAACAACUAAUCCAAACGGACUAUAUAGACUAGUUUAUAUUUGAAGUCAUCCUUAGUCGAAAAAAUCCCCUGAAAGAAGAAAAAAAAAUUGUGAUAAACUGUGGUUCAGUUUAUAAUUUGUUUAAUAAAUUUAAUAUCAGCUGUUGAAUUAAUCGAUACUACAAGUUAACUAAAUGGGUUGAAUUUUAUAGGUUAGUUACAGUUUUACGUUCCUUAUAUGUACUAAUAUUUUUUGUAAUUUUGUCUUCAUUAAGAGAAUAUAAGCGCGUGCGUGUCAUCAUAUCAUUUGAUAAAAUCCCAAAUUCAUACUUGGAUUAAUUCUACUUUUAAAAUCCCAAAUUCUUAGUAAGCUACUUCUAUAAUGUACUUAUAUAUUUUGUGUAUUUCACUUUAAGGUAAUGUACCCAAAUUAUAAUUCUUGAAAUCCUAGAAGAAUAGGUUUGUCUAGAUUUUAUUAGGUAGGCAAACACGACGUGCCAAAUGUAAUUAAGCAUAUAGUGUAUUAGAAUGAGAAUAAUAACAAUUAGUAUUUGAGAACUUGAGAGACUUAAAAUGCAAUUCUUUCAGUGGAUUAAAGUGAUGAAGAUUGGUUUGGUAAGUUAACCUCGGUUAGUCUGGAAAUGGAAUUUUGGGAUUUGGCUGGCCGCUGGCAUGUGGGGUAUCUAACAGGGUAGAAUAGAAACUUGAGGAUGACAAUGGAUCGUCUUAUUUGGAGAACAGCUGGAAAUAUGGAGUAGAUGGCUUUUGUUUGUGCUCUUCUUCUCAUCUUUUUUUGAUUUAAAAUGCCAGGAAUGUCCUUGUCUCUUCUUGUCUGGUUGGGCGACCUUUGGCCUUCCCGGUUUCUGUUGUUUGUUUUGGCUUUGGGUCAAUACUCAUUUAAAGGAGGAAAUGGAAAUGGAAUAAUGAAAUAAUGAAAAUUCGGGACCUUUUUUGUUUUGCUUAAAGGGAGUGGAAUGAAGGGCAGGAGAAAAUAAUAAUAAAUAUGCCCCCCAACGGUAACGCUUUUCCACAACUUGUGUCCUAAGUUUGAUGAGGUGUUGCAUGCUCUGAUCAAAAUGUCGAAUUCAUGUGUACAGUUAUUUCCCUGUUCAGUUAAUCACUUGUAUAAUCCAUUAAUGGCAUUAGGAACCGUUUCAAGGAAAUUGCGGUUCAUUAUGAAUCACAUGGCCAAAUUUGUAGAAUUAAAGAAAGUAUGCCAGCACUUGAUUUGGAAUUCCUUCUCGUUGAAAUUUGUGAUUUGCAUGCCUAAUGGAAAAGAGUUAUUGACAUAAAAAAAUAUGGGAUAAUUUCAGAAAUUUCCCUUGAGGUUUCUAGUAAUUUCAGACAGCUCCCCUCGUGUUUUAAAAAGGGUUAAUUCCACUUUGUCCCCUCAAACUUUGGGCGAUUACCCACUUCAGUCCCUUAACUUCAAAAUGGGACACUUAAAUCCCUAAACUUAUGAAUUGCUCCCAGUUAAGGAAAAUUGUUGACAGAAUCCUGAUUGCCGUUGGUGGUCAAAGUGCGUGGCAAACACUGUCCUUUGACUGAGGGCAACAAUGAAAAUUCACAAAAAAUCACAUAUAUAGAUUAAAAAAAAAUGGUGAAAUAUGGAGGGAAAGUUUCCCUCCAUGCUACCCACUUCAGAUGGAUAAUGUAGACCCGAUCCAAAUCAUAAAAGGGCACUUCAGGUCGGUAUGCUGAGAGACCCAAGCUGUCAUUCUGCUAUCCACAGGGCAGGAAGAAGAAAAGGAGAACCCAACGCAUGGUUCAACAAACAAAGAGAAAUGGUGAGGCAAUUUUGUGAUUGUGGAAAGCAAACAUUGAUGAUGACAUCAUGGACUGCCAUGAACCCAGGAAGAAGGUUUUGUCGAUGUGCCAAGUACAGAGUAAGGGAAAUUAGGGUUUUGUGUUUAUACUUGUUUUUUAUUUUGGGUUUGUAUGAAUUGCAGCCACCUAAUCUUGUCUGCAAACAUAAUGUUCUUGUCAAACUAGGAACAAGGAGGCUGCAUAUACUGGGAUUGGGUUGAUCCUGAGAUGUGUCAAAGGUCAAAAGAAAUAAUACCUGGACUGCUAAGGUCGAUGAACAAGAUGGAAGCUGAGUUGGAUAGGUUGAAAGAAAAUUCAAGGUGCCAACAAUCGAAAGUAAGGAAGCUAAGGAUGUACUUGAUUAUCCACUGGGUUGCCAUUGUCAUGUGGUUGUUUUUGUUCAAAUCUGGGGGAGAAGGUCCAAAAUGAGUUGUAGAAGAAGCAACCGCUUAUGCCGGACUGCCCGUUUUGUUUGCUCAAAUAUGGGACCACCUUUGUCUGUCAUUGCUAAGUAGUGGACCUUUUGAGUGGUGCAGGAAGGAAAUUCUUGCUUUUGCUGACUAUGUAAUUACCAGCACUUUCAGAAUCCCGCUUGCGGGUUUCAGCGUUUUAUGCUGUCGGGAUGUUAACCAUCUUGCUUGUGAACAUGUGCUACAUUGCUUUGAAUUUUUGUGACAGGUGAAAGCUUUGUCUGAUGAAUGUAUUUGUGAAAUGACCUGAGUGGUGGUAGAUGGGUUAAUUGGGUCGGUCGCGUUACCCAAUUAUUUAUAUCCAUAAGUAAAAUUUUAAGAUUCGCAUACCCAUCUAUUCAUGGCCGGUAUGGGUAAAUGUAGUUCAAUAGAAAUGUCAAAAAACGAGUUUGACAACCCAAUUGCUCGUUUACAACCUAUUUAUUCUAACUUUUUACAAAUUCGUCUAAAUUAAUUUUGAAAACUUAACUGCCAAUUUAUACAACCCUUUUUUUUAACUGUCAUUAAUUUAAAUAUUGACUUAUAAUGCCCAAAAAGCCUAAUUACCAAUUUUUUCUUCUCGCUAUCAAAUAUAAUAUUAACCCGCAUGCGAGGUAACAAUGAAAUAGUAAAAAGACAGAAACCCGCUUGCGGGUUUCAGCGUUAUUAUGCAGGCGGGAUUUUAACCUGCUUGCUUGUGAACAUGUACCACAUUGCUUUGAAUUUUUGUGACAGGACGAAAGCUUUGUCUGAUGAAUGUAUUUGUGAAAUGACCUGAGUGGUGGUAGAUGGGUUAAUUGGGUCGGUUGCGUUAUCCAAUUAUUUUUAUCCAUAUUUUUAUCCUAAUUACCAAUUUUUUCUUCUCGCCAUAAAAUAUAACAUUAACCCGCAUGCGAGGUAACGUUGAAGUAGGAAAAACACAGAAUCCCGCUUGCGGGUUUCAGCGUUAUUAUACAGUCGGAAUUUUAACCAUCUUGCUUGUGAACAUGUACCACAUUGUUUUGAAUUUUUGUGACUGGUGAAAGCUUUGUCUGAUGAAUGUAUUUGUGAAAUGACCUGAGUGGUGGUAGAUGGGUUUUAAAUGUAUUGUAUCAAAUUUAGGGAUAUAGUGGACCUGCUAUGUCCCAUAAUUGUGAACGUUGGACCUGCUAUGUAAUCAGAAUUUGUUGUUUAGGGAUUUUAGUGUCCCAAUUUGUAAAGUUUAUUGCAAGUAAUCUAUGUCACAUUAACAACAGCAAUCAACUCAGAACAUAAAAUUUUCAGCAAAAACCUUUGAUCAUUCAACAAAUCAUCCAAUACAUAAUAGCAAUACCAGGAAUGACAAAAAUUCCACAUUAACAGCCUCUAAAUUUCACCCAUCUGGACUAGCAAGACAAAGGCUAUAUGAGUUCCACAACAGAGGCUACCAAAAACAGAGGCUAACAAAAAUUCCAUAUUAACAAAAAAAUUCUUAGUUCCAAUGGACUAUAUGAGUUGAACAAAAGUUCGCCACAUCUGGACUAGCAAAACAGAGGCUUUUACUGCCCAAUUUGAUUGUAUCUGCAAAAUAAAAAAGGCUAUAUGCCUGUACAAUUCUUGAGUUGGUUUGUCCAGCAUCAGUUAGUUCAUGCUUGAAGGCUAUUUGGCCUAUUGCUGCAAUUUUCCCAACUUAACAGAUUGGUUUCCAUCCCCAUGGAGCUGCACAUUUUCAAUUCCAAGUGACUCCUUCGCAUGUCCCGCAGCUGUCUGUAAUGUAGACAGGUUAACACACAAAUUGCCUUGCCAUGUGAAUUGUGCUGGCUUAAGUCCACUGCUGGAAUGAGAGGCUGUCCCCAAGUCCACGUAUGAGUGUGGUGCUCUCAUCGUUACUCCGUGGCUGUGGGAAUAAAGUUUGCGACCAUCAGCUUUGGAGCUUAACUGCAAACAAGCACAUAACAUGAAUCAAUAAGACAUGACACCCAUAAAUAAAGACCUGAUGUAUGGAGACCACUUACAUGAGUUGUUGUAGGACUCUUUUCCACAUGCCCAGAACUAUUUUGAGCAUGAUUAUAUGGGUUUUCCAGAUCAUCAGACCGUAUUUUUACAGUUUUGAAUCCCAAGUCUCCAGUCAUGUCCAGUGAGCUCCUAAAGGUCCAUUGCCUCAACUUACAACUAUUCUUUGAGUGACCAUGCUUACGACAAAAUGAGCAUUUUCUUCCUUUCUUUGUCACUGGUUCUUGUGCCCCUUGUUUUGGCUGAUUGGCAUCCAAAUUUUGAGAUGGACCUGUGUGACUCUGUUGCGUACUUACUCCAAGUAUGUCAACGGUCACAUCACUUGGACAAGCCUCGUUAGUACUUGGCUGCAUAGAUGGGCCUGUAUCUCCAAUAUCACUGUUCUCCUUUGCUGAACUUGUAGUUGUCCCCUCAGUGGUUUGCUUAUUUUUAUCCGGACAUCCUCUUUUGUUAUGUCCGUAUUUUUUGCAGCGGCUGCAGCUCAUCAUGGUGCCAACCUUGCUAACCUUGUGAGGUUUAGUUGGAUUGACACAGCUGUCCCGUCUGUCUUCUUCUGAAGCCUUUUUUCUCAUUUUCUUUGGCCUUCCAGCAAAUCUUCUAUAAGUCGGAGGCUUCAUUGCUGGAAGGUCUAUGUGCUCCCACAAAUUAGGACCAUUGAUUGGAUUAAGUACAGGUUCAUAACUUUGUAGAUACGUGAUCUUCAAGUAGGUGUUGGAAACAUGCUUCUCUGGUGCUUCAUGUCUCCUGUUGAUGGCAGCUACAGCAUGGCCACAUGGUAUUCCCCUUAAUUGCCACUUUCUACAUGAACAGGUUUUGGCAGCCAUGUCAACAAUAUACUGC